AGUGAACGCUGGCGGUAGGCCUAACACAUGCAAGUCGAACGGCAGCACAGUAAGACCUUGCUCUUACGUGUGGCGAGUGGCGGACGUGCGAGGAAUACAUCCGAAUCUACCUUUUCGUGAGGGUUAACCUAGGGAAACUUACGCAAUUACCCCAUACGACCUACGUGUGAAAGCAGGGGAUCUUCGGACCUUUCGCUAUUGAAUGAGCCGACGUCGGAUUAGCUAGUUGGCGGGGUAACGGCCCACCAAGGCGACGAUCCGUAGCUGGGCUGAGAGGAUGGUCAGACACACUAGAACUGAGACACGGUACAGACUAGAAUGGGAGGGAGGAGUGGAGAAUAUUGGACAAUGGGAGGAAGCCGAAUCCAGCCAUACCGCGUGGGUGGAAGAGGGACUGGGGUAGGAAAGGCAUUUUGUUGGGAAAGGAAAGCAACAGGUGAAUACCCCGCUGUUCUGACGGUACCCAAAGAAUAAGCACCGGCUAACUUCGUG
Molecule: ribosomal RNA, 492 nt
Filed under: uncultured bacterium
Lineage: Bacteria
Description: partial 16S ribosomal RNA
Rfam family: Bacterial small subunit ribosomal RNA
Source: RNAcentral